This 73-nucleotide transfer RNA is filed under the name Treponema sp. Its description in RNAcentral is "tRNA-Met". It matches the Rfam family "tRNA". From Rfam's summary of the family: Transfer RNA (tRNA) molecules are approximately 80 nucleotides in length. Their secondary structure includes four short double-helical elements and three loops (D, anti-codon, and T loops). Lineage: Bacteria; Pseudomonadati; Spirochaetota; Spirochaetia; Treponematales; Treponemataceae. The record is from RNAcentral. RNAcentral also lists the same sequence under 3 other names.
CGCAGGGUGGAGCAGUUGGAAGCUCGUCGGGCUCAUAACCCGAAGGCCGGGGGUUCAAGUCCCUCCCCUGCUA